CUCUAGCUGGGUGACUAAGGAUGGGGUUCCUGCACCCCUCAGAGGUCGCUUGGACGUGGCGUCUCUUCUCCCUCCUGCAGAGGCUCCAGCAUAGAGGCCUUCACCCCAGGCCCUGCAGUGAAGAUGGGGGCAGAGAAGCAGCCAAGCACAACAGCCAGGAAGCCGAGGGGGAACUUAUCUUUGGUGGUUUGUUACCACAGCAUAACUGAGACCACACUGGCCCAUGCAACUGAUAAUCCCACCAUUCAAGUUAAUCACUGUGAAAAUUCGUGCAUGCAAAUGAACACACAUAUGUACAUGA
Molecule: long non-coding RNA, 301 nt
Organism: Suricata suricatta (meerkat)
Lineage: Eukaryota; Metazoa; Chordata; Mammalia; Carnivora; Herpestidae
Exons: 2
Source: RefSeq, a predicted model, not a curated record